CCCUGGAGCUCAGCGAGGGGAAGGUGCUUUCCUUACCUCUAAACAGCAGUGCAGUCGUGAACUGCUCCGUGCACGGCCUGCCCACCCCUGCCCUACGCUGGACCAAGGACUCCACUCCCCUGGGCGAUGGCCCCAUGCUGUCGCUCAGUUCUAUCACCUUCGAUUCCAAUGGCACCUACGUAUGUGAGGCCUCCCUGCCCACAGUCCCGGUCCUCAGCCGCACCCAGAACUUCACGCUGCUGGUCCAAGGUUCAGGGGGCAGGGAGGGGGUGGGCUUGGAUGGGGACAGUGUGGGGUGUGGGACCUGGACAAACAGGACGAGUUCCUGAGUCCCUGGCUGGGGACUCCAUCUUCUGCUCGAUUCCUCUCUUCUCUCUCUCUCUCCUCUCCCUUCACUUUCUUCCCAUCCCCACCACCCACAGGCUCGCCAGAGCUAAAGACAGCGGAAAUAGAGCCCAAGGCAGAUGGCAGCUGGAGGGAAGGAGACGAAGUCACACUCAUCUGCUCUGCCCGCGGCCAUCCAGACCCCAAACUCAGCUGGAGCCAAUUGGGGGGCAGCGUAAGGGACCUUCCUCUCCACCCUGAACCCCCUCUCACUCAUCCAAGUAUCA
RNAcentral lists this small RNA (611 nucleotides) under Pan troglodytes (chimpanzee). RNAcentral describes it as "retained intron". The record is from RNAcentral. Lineage: Eukaryota; Metazoa; Chordata; Mammalia; Primates; Hominidae.